AAUAAGAUCGUUUUUUAGUUUUUAUAUAAUGUUUUGACUCUUCGUCUUAUUUAAAAUUCUUUUGCGAUUAAUAUUUUUGGUUUUACUAGAUGAUAAAACAUAAAUAGUACUUUAUACGUGACUAAUUUUUUUAAGUUUUUAUACAAAUUUUUCAAACAAGACGAAUGGUCAAACGUUGGACAUGAAAAAAC
This 191-nucleotide microRNA precursor is filed under the name Oryza brachyantha (malo sina). RNAcentral describes it as "MIR812 microRNA precursor family". It matches the Rfam family "MIR812 microRNA precursor family". Lineage: Eukaryota; Viridiplantae; Streptophyta; Magnoliopsida; Poales; Poaceae. The record is from Rfam by way of RNAcentral.